Molecule: long non-coding RNA, 614 nt
Organism: Drosophila ficusphila
Lineage: Eukaryota; Metazoa; Arthropoda; Insecta; Diptera; Drosophilidae
Exons: 2
Source: RefSeq, a predicted model, not a curated record
AAAUAUUAGUACACUUAGACACAUUUUAAAUAGCAACAAAACAUCCACCCACUCAUAUAUUUGUCACCCUCCUUCAGCUAAGUGUUUAAAUUAUUCAAAAAUUUUUCGCCCCCGAAAAGCUUUGACGUAAAUUUGGGGUUUCCCCCGCUCUUUCCCGUAACUGAUGUCUCCAAGGACACUUUAUCAUGACUCGCGAGGCUCAAGCAAUUGUUGCAAAUGGAGCUCAGCGGCUAAGUGGUUUUAUUUUAAAUCUUUCACGUUCAGGACAGAGUCACAAAAAAAAUUGAAGCGUGAAAAUCUGCAGCCUUAUGACAACAAGUUGCUUUCAAAAACUCAACAGUCGCGACAAGUUCUCAAUUGUUUGGUAAAUGUCAGUCUUCAUUUGUCAGCUACAUCCCAAGUUGGCUUAAGUGGCUUCGUUUUCGGGCGGAGGAUACAGAUAUAGCGGAUAUAAAGCGAUGUGCAUCUUGAGUAUUGUUUUGACUAAGCUUUAAAGGUUCUCCUCCAUUUAAAAUUACAAUUGAAAUUGAAAGACUUCCAGCGAAACACUCAAAGUCGAUUACUCUUGGGCGCAGCUAAUACGAAUCCAAUAAAUAUUUAGUAAGGCUUUUCAA